Molecule: unclassified non-coding RNA, 417 nt
Filed under: soil metagenome
Description: partial contains 5.8S ribosomal RNA, internal transcribed spacer 2, and large subunit ribosomal RNA
Rfam family: 5.8S ribosomal RNA (bases 1-120)
Source: RNAcentral
GAUGAAGAACGUAGCGAAAUGCGAUAAGUAAUGUGAAUUGCAGAAUUCAGUGAAUCAUCGAAUCUUUGAACGCACCUUGCGCUCCUUGGUAUUCCAAAGAGCAUGCCUGUUUGAGUAUCAUUAAAUUAUCAACUGUACCAAUUUGGUUGCAGAUUGGAUGUGGGAGAUUUUGCAGGCUUUUGAUUUCUCUUUGAGAAAACGGUCAGCUCUCCUGAAAUAUAUUAGCAGUGCUUUUGUUGGUUCAUUAGGUGUGAUAAUUUAUCUACAUCUUCACAUGGUACCUUCAUUUGUGUAAAGGUCAUAUUGCUUCUAAUUGUCUUUGGACAUAAAAAAAAAAAAACAUAUAAUUGUAUGGAAAACUUGAUCUCAAAUCAGGCAGGACUACCCGCUGAACUUAAGCAUAUCAAUAACGGAGGA